This 259-nucleotide long non-coding RNA is filed under the name Homo sapiens (human). Its description in RNAcentral is "non-protein coding lnc-TRA2B-1:1". The record is from RNAcentral. Lineage: Eukaryota; Metazoa; Chordata; Mammalia; Primates; Hominidae.
GCCGGGCAUGGUACUAUGUGCCUGUAGUCCCAGCUACUCAGGAGGUGGAGGCAGGAGGAUCACUUGAGCUCAGAAGUUUUAGGCUGCAGUGAGCCAUGAUUGCACUACUGCACUCCAGCCUGGGUGACAGUGUGAGACCCUGUCUCAAAAAAAAAAAAAAAGAGAGAGAGACAAGGAAGGUCUCACUCUGUCUAGAAUGCAGUGGCAUGAUCACAGGUCACUGAAGCCUCAAAUUUCUGAGCUCAAGAGAUCCUCCUGC